NNNNNNNNNNNNNNNNNNNNNNNNNNNNNNNNNNNNNNNNNNNNNNNNNNNNNNNNNGGGGGGGGCCGGCGGCGGCGGCGGCGGCGGCGGCGACGUUUCCGGGGUGAGGAGAGAUCCGGGGGUCCCCGCCGUCACCCCCAUCCCCCCCCCGGGGCUUUCGGGGCUGGGGGGGAGUUUUUCGGGGACGUUUUCCGAGGGGGGUUCCGGGGGUCCGAAAGCGAAGGGCGGAGCUUGCCGAGGGGUGUAGGGAGGCGUCCAGGUUUCGGUCGCGGUCCCUCCCGGUAAAUCCGAGGCCGAGCGGGUGCCCACGGCCAAACCGACGCCGACGUUGGCCCCCACGGGCAGCCCCACGGCGGGACCGGCGGCGUUGGUUCGGAUGGAUCCGGCGCCGCUCGCCACGUUGGUUCCGACGCCGGCGCCGAUGGCGGAUGGAAGAGAGGAGUCGGCGCCGGCCCCAAGGCCGAGUCCGACGCCGGCGUCAGUUCCGAGUCCAACGCUGGCCCCGAGCGCGGCUCCGACGGCGAAGCCGAGGGCGGAUCCAACGCCGGAAGCGCCGGCGGCUCCAACUCCGGCACCGACGGCGAGGCCGAUGCCGGUGCCGACGUCCGAUCCUCGUGCGGAGCCGGUGCCGGCUCCAACGUUGGCUCCGAGACCCAAUCCGACACCAGAUCCAAGAGCGGAGCCAACGCCGGCGCUGAUGUUGGCUCUGACAGCGGUUCCGAUGCCGAGUCCGACGCCUGCGCCGACAUCCGACGGGAGAGGAGCGCCGCUGCCGGCUCCGGCGCCGAGUCCCAUGCCGACGUCGACCUCAGAUCCAAGGGCAGAGCCAACGUCGGCUCCAACGCCGGCUCCCAUGGCAAGGCCGACACCGGGUCCGAGGGUAGAACCAACGCUGGCACCGACGCCGGCUCCCAUGGCAAGUCCAGAUCCAAGAGUAGAGCCAACAUUGGCACUGACGCCGGCUCCCAUGGCAAGUCUGACACCGGGUCCAAGAGGAGAGCCAACGUUGGCACCAACGCCGGCUCCGACGGCGAGGCCGACACCGGAUCCAGAAGUAGAACCAACUCUGGCACCGACGCCGGCUCCAACAGCGAGUCCAGAUUGAAGAGUAGAGCCAACGUUGGCACCGACACCCGCUCCCAUGGCAAGUCCAGAUCCAAGAGCAGAACCAACACCGGCACCGACGCCGGCUCCCAUGGCAAGUCCAGAACCAAGAGCAGAACCAACACCGGCACUGACGCCGGCUCCCAUGGCAAGGCCAGAUCCAAGAGUAGAACCAACGCUGGCACCGACACCAGCUCCGACAGCGAGGCCAACACCGGAUCCAAGAGUAGAACCAACACCGGCACCGACGCCGGCUCCAACAGCGAGUCCAGAUUGAAGAGUAGAGCCAACAUUGGCACCGACGCUGGCACCCAUGGCAAGGCCAAUACCGGAUCCAGAAGUAGAACCAACUCCGGCACUGACUCCGGCUCCAACAGCGAGUCCAGAUUGAAGAGUAGAGCCAACAUUAGCACCAACACCAGCUCCCAUGGCAAGGCCAACACCGGAUCCAAGAGCAGAACCAACACCGGCACCGACGCCAGCUCCCAUGGCAAGGCCAGAUCCAAGAGUAGAACCGAUGCUGGCACCAACACCAGCUCCAACAGCAAGUCCAGAUCCAGGAGUAGAACCAACGCCGGCACCGAUGCCGGCUCCCAUGGCAAGUCCAGAUCCAGGAGUCGAACCAACGCCGGCACCGACGCCGGCUCCAACAGCAAGGCCAACGCUGGAUCCGACACCAGACCCAAGAGUGGAGGCGACGUUGGCUCCGAGAGCCGCUCCAAGACCGAGUCCGACGGCGGAUCCAAGCGUGGAGGCGGCGCUGGUUCCGGUGUUGGCUCCGAGGCCGAGCCCGACGCCGGCACCUGCACCGGUCCCAACGCUGGCGCCGAUGGCGAGCCCAACACCGGCGCUGCCGUCAGACGGAAGAGCGGAACCGACGGCCCCGAUGCCGAGCCCGACGCUGGCUCUGACGCCGCCACCGAGACCGGAUCCGAUGUUGGCACCGAUAUCAAGAGCGACGCCGGCUCCGAGCCCAACGUCCGCUCCGGCGUUGGUCCGGAGAGCGGUUCCAAUGUCGUCCGCGGCGCCGGGCCCGAGCGCGGCUGCGAUAUCGGCCCCAAGAGAGGGGCCGACGUCAGGGCUGCCGCCGGCUGCCACGCCGAGCCCGACGUCCACUCUGAUGCCGGCUCCCACGCCGAUGCCGAUGCCGAUGUCGGCGCCGAGAGCGUGCCCAACGCUGUCUCCAAGAGCGCGGCCAACGUCCAUCCCAACGCCGGGCUCGGCGCCGGCACCGACGCCGAGUCCAAGGCCGUGUCCGACACCGGAUCCAAGAGUAGGGUCAACGUCGGCCGCGGCGCCGGCCCCGAGGCCGUGUUCCAUGGCGGCUCCCAGCCCGGCUCCCACGUUGGUUCUGAGGCCGCGUCCGACACCGGCGCCGAGACCGGGAUCGACGUCGGCUGUGGCGCCGGCUCCGAGUCCAUGUCCAACGUCGGCUCCAAGACCGCGGCCAACGUUGACCCCAAGGCCCAGCCCAACGCCGGCUCCGCCGUCGGCUCCGAGCUCGGCUCCCAGCACCAGCUCAAUGCCGGAUCCGACGCCGGGGCCAACGCCGAGACCGGGCCCGACGCCGAGAUCUCCGCCAGCUCCAACAUCCGCCCCGGGGAAAUCAAGGCCGGGCCCGAAGGAUUCCGGGGGUCCCGGGGGGGCUUCGGCCGCCAGUUGCUGCCGCAGACACCAAGCUUCGGCCUCGCUGCGGGGGAAAUAGGGGAAGGGGGGGGUCAAGGGCGCAUCCGGAUGAUGGGGCGCUUUGGGGGGGCCCCUUUGGGACCCUCGCUCACCUGAUGAUGAAGUUGUGGGCGAGCAGGGCCGGGCCCUCGGGGCGCAGGCGGGCGUAGACCCAGGUCCAGCCCAAGCCGUCCUUGCGCUGCAGUCGGGUCACCAGCUCCCCCCGAGCCUCCGCUCCUGCGCCCGCUGCGGG
This 3022-nucleotide long non-coding RNA is filed under the name Numida meleagris (helmeted guineafowl). Its description in RNAcentral is "lncRNA (ENSNMEG00000002114.1)". Lineage: Eukaryota; Metazoa; Chordata; Aves; Galliformes; Numididae. The record is from RNAcentral.